Balaenoptera musculus (blue whale) is the source of this 722-nucleotide long non-coding RNA. RefSeq lists it as uncharacterized. The record is from RefSeq and is a predicted model, not a curated record. The transcript has 5 exons. Lineage: Eukaryota; Metazoa; Chordata; Mammalia; Artiodactyla; Balaenopteridae.
UGCUGUGUAUCUCGCCACUGGUACACUGAAUAGUAUCUUCCUUCAGACAGGGAUUGAGAAACGGAAAUACCACCACCCUCGAGCCAAACUUGUGAGGACUGAUUGCAGGGGAACUGGUGCUCCAGAUGUUGCACUAGAGGCGCUGCGAGUGUGAGCAGGUGGCAGUAGACCUGCAUCGCAGGUUGUAGCAGAUGUUCUCAACAUUUCUCUUGAAAUUUCCUCAUCUCCGUUUGCAAGAGGAGCCCCAGAGCCUCAUCCCUGUGGUAGCUACCAUGUUCUGGUAUAAGCUGUUAUUCACCAGGGAGCUUUGGCAAGAGAAUGGCUGUAUCAGGAAGUCCAUCUCCACCGUGGAAAAACAACUUGAAGCUUGUCUUUAUUGAUGGGAACAAUAUGACCUGUAACCUGGAGGGAUACACCAUUUCUAGUCUGAGACACACAGAAAUACCGUGGAGAAUUGACUCCUAACAGCAAGGUGUACUGUCUGUAGGAUGGAGAUAGACUGAAUACCCGCUUCGCUGAAUACCGGCUUCAGAUCACCUUUCACAUUUUCUUUUUGGAAAGGCAACUGUUGGAGAAUCAUCUUGUUACCGUCAGCAAAAAUGGAAACAAAUCAAGACAUUAAGAAUGCCACGGUGAAGGACUUCCCUGGUGGCCCAGUGGUUAAGAAUCCACCUGCCAAUGCAGGGGACACGGUUUAAUCCCUGGUCCAGGAGAUCCCACAU